UACGUAGGUGGCGAGCGUUAUCCGGAAUUAUUGGGCGUAAAGAGCGCGCAGGUGGUUGAUUAAGUCUGAUGUGAAAGCCCACGGCUUAACCGUGGAGGGUCAUUGGAAACUGGUCGACUUGAGUGCAGAAGAGGGAAGUGGAAUUCCAUGUGUAGCGGUGAAAUGCGUAGAGAUAUGGAGGAACACCAGUGGCGAAGGCGGCUUCCUGGCACAAUACUGACGCUCAUGUGCGAAAGCUAGGGCAGCGAACGGGGAUUA
RNAcentral lists this ribosomal RNA (258 nucleotides) under uncultured prokaryote. Its description in RNAcentral is "partial 16S ribosomal RNA". It matches the Rfam family "Bacterial small subunit ribosomal RNA", at positions 524 to 780 of the family's 1533-position model. The record is from RNAcentral.